GGGGCUGUAGCUCAGUGGUAGAGCGCGCGCUUUGCAUUACGGUGAAUGAUUUGUGUUGCGCGAGGCCCAGGGUUCGAUCCCCUGCCGCUCCA
Bacidia gigantensis is the source of this 92-nucleotide non-coding RNA. NCBI's taxonomy places the organism in Eukaryota, Fungi, Ascomycota, Lecanoromycetes, Lecanorales, Ramalinaceae. The record is from the annotation of a RefSeq genome assembly.